This 53-nucleotide transfer RNA is filed under the name Araneae sp. MT-2014. RNAcentral describes it as "tRNA-Ser". Lineage: Eukaryota; Metazoa; Arthropoda; Arachnida; Araneae. The record is from RNAcentral.
UGAAUAGUAUAUAGAAAGCUGCUAACUUUUUAAUAGCGAAAGCUACUAUGGAU